Ochotona curzoniae (black-lipped pika) is the source of this 103-nucleotide small nuclear RNA. Lineage: Eukaryota; Metazoa; Chordata; Mammalia; Lagomorpha; Ochotonidae. The record is from RefSeq and is a predicted model, not a curated record.
GUGCUCACUUUGGCAGCACAUAUACUAAAAUUAGAAUGAUACAGAGAAGAUUAGCAUGGCCCCUGGGCAAGGAUAAAUAGUUGGGGAUGCCUUUUAGAUGUUC